CACACUAUCAUUAACUGAAUCCAUAGGUUAAUGAGGCGAACCGGGGGAACUGAAACAUCUAAGUACCCCGAGGAAAAGAAAUCAACCGAGAUUCCCCCAGUAGCGGCGAGCGAACGGGGAGCAGCCCAGAGCCUGAAUCAGUGUGUGUGUUAGUGGAAGCGUCUGGAAAGGCGCGCGAUACAGGGUGACAGCCCCGUACACAAAAAUGCACAUGCUGUGAGCUCGAUGAGUAGGGCGGGACACGUGGUAUCCUGUCUGAAUAUGGGGGGACCAUCCUCCAAGGCUAAAUACUCCUGACUGACCGAUAGUGAACCAGUACCGUGAGGGAAAGGCGAAAAGAACCCCGGCGAGGGGAGUGAAAAAGAACCUGAAACCGUGUACGUACAAGCAGUGGGAGCACGCUUAGGCGUGUGACUGCGUACCUUUUGUAUAAUGGGUCAGCGACUUAUAUUCUGUAGCAAGGUUAACCGAAUAGGGGAGCCGAAGGGAAACCGAGUCUUAACUGGGCGUUAAGUUGCAGGGUAUAGACCCGAAACCCGGUGAUCUAGCCAUGGGCAGGUUGAAGGUUGGGUAACACUAACUGGAGGACCGAACCGACUAAUGUUGAAAAAUUAGCGGAUGACUUGUGGCUGGGGGUGAAAGGCCAAUCAAACCGGGAGAUAGCUGGUUCUCCCCGAAAGCUAUUUAGGUAGCGCCUCGUGAAUUCAUCUCCGGGGGUAGAGCACUGUUUCGGCAAGGGGGUCAUCCCGACUUACCAACCCGAUGCAAACUGCGAAUACCGGAGAAUGUUAUCACGGGAGACACACGGCGGGUGCUAACGUCCGUCGUGAAGAGGGAAACAACCCAGACCGCCAGCUAAGGUCCCAAAGUCAUGGUUAAGUGGGAAACGAUGUGGGAAGGCCCAGACAGCCAGGAUGUUGGCUUAGAAGCAGCCAUCAUUUAAAGAAAGCGUAAUAGCUCACUGGUCGAGUCGGCCUGCGCGGAAGAUGUAACGGGGCUAAACCAUGCACCGAAGCUGCGGCAGCGACGCUGAUGCGUUGUUGGGUAGGGGAGCGUUCUGUAAGCCUGUGAAGGUGUACUGUGAGGUAUGCUGGAGGUAUCAGAAGUGCGAAUGCUGACAUAAGUAACGAUAAAGCGGGUGAAAAGCCCGCUCGCCGGAAGACCAAGGGUUCCUGUCCAACGUUAAUCGGGGCAGGGUGAGUCGACCCCUAAGGCGAGGCCGAAAGGCGUAGUCGAUGGGAAACAGGUUAAUAUUCCUGUACUUGGUGUUACUGCGAAGGGGGGACGGAGAAGGCUAUGUUGGCCGGGCGACGGUUGUCCCGGUUUAAGCGUGUAGGCUGGUUUUCCAGGCAAAUCCGGAAAAUCAAGGCUGAGGCGUGAUGACGAGGCACUACGGUGCUGAAGCAACAAAUGCCCUGCUUCCAGGAAAAGCCUCUAAGCAUCAGGUAACAUCAAAUCGUACCCCAAACCGACACAGGUGGUCAGGUAGAGAAUACCAAGGCGCUUGAGAGAACUCGGGUGAAGGAACUAGGCAAAAUGGUGCCGUAACUUCGGGAGAAGGCACGCUGAUAUGUAGGUGAAGUCCCUCGCGGAUGGAGCUGAAAUCAGUCGAAGAUACCAGCUGGCUGCAACUGUUUAUUAAAAACACAGCACUGUGCAAACACGAAAGUGGACGUAUACGGUGUGACGCCUGCCCGGUGCCGGAAGGUUAAUUGAUGGGGUUAGCGCAAGCGAAGCUCUUGAUCGAAGCCCCGGUAAACGGCGGCCGUAACUAUAACGGUCCUAAGGUAGCGAAAUUCCUUGUCGGGUAAGUUCCGACCUGCACGAAUGGCGUAAUGAUGGCCAGGCUGUCUCCACCCGAGACUCAGUGAAAUUGAACUCGCUGUGAAGAUGCAGUGUACCCGCGGCAAGACGGAAAGACCCCGUGAACCUUUACUAUAGCUUGACACUGAACAUUGAGCCUUGAUGUGUAGGAUAGGUGGGAGGCUUUGAAGUGUGGACGCCAGUCUGCAUGGAGCCGACCUUGAAAUACCACCCUUUAAUGUUUGAUGUUCUAACGUGGACCCGUAAUCCGGGUUGCGGACAGUGUCUGGUGGGUAGUUUGACUGGGGCGGUCUCCUCCUAAAGAGUAACGGAGGAGCACGAAGGUUGGCUAAUCCUGGUCGGACAUCAGGAGGUUAGUGCAAUGGCAUAAGCCAGCUUGACUGCGAGCGUGACGGCGCGAGCAGGUGCGAAAGCAGGUCAUAGUGAUCCGGUGGUUCUGAAUGGAAGGGCCAUCGCUCAACGGAUAAAAGGUACUCCGGGGAUAACAGGCUGAUACCGCCCAAGAGUUCAUAUCGACGGCGGUGUUUGGCACCUCGAUGUCGGCUCAUCACAUCCUGGGGCUGAAGUAGGUCCCAAGGGUAUGGCUGUUCGCCAUUUAAAGUGGUACGCGAGCUGGGUUUAGAACGUCGUGAGACAGUUCGGUCCCUAUCUGCCGUGGGCGCUGGAGAACUGAGGGGGGCUGCUCCUAGUACGAGAGGACCGGAGUGGACGCAUCACUGGUGUUCGGGUUGUCAUGCCAAUGGCACUGCCCGGUAGCUAAAUGCGGAAGAGAUAAGUGCUGAAAGCAUCUAAGCACGAAACUUGCCCCGAGAUGAGUUCUCCCUGACUCCUUGAGAGUCCUGAAGGAACGUUGAAGACGACGACGUUGAUAGGCCGGGUGUGUAAGCGCAGCGAUGCGUUGAGCUAACCGGUACUAAUGAACCGUGAGGCUUAACCUUACAACGCCGAAG
This 2774-nucleotide ribosomal RNA is filed under the name Escherichia coli. Its description in RNAcentral is "bacterial LSU rRNA". It matches the Rfam family "Bacterial large subunit ribosomal RNA". The record is from RNAcentral. Lineage: Bacteria; Pseudomonadati; Pseudomonadota; Gammaproteobacteria; Enterobacterales; Enterobacteriaceae.